This 1173-nucleotide long non-coding RNA is filed under the name Aquilegia coerulea. Its description in RNAcentral is "long non-coding RNA (ACOE_LNC000766)". The record is from RNAcentral. Lineage: Eukaryota; Viridiplantae; Streptophyta; Magnoliopsida; Ranunculales; Ranunculaceae.
UCAUUGAUUGGUAUGGACGAAAGGUUCUAAAUCAAUAUGAGAGCUUCAGAGAAAUUGAGCCAUUUCAAAGAGGAGUUGCCAUCUUCUCGGCUUAUGCAUGGGUAAGUAAUUUUCAAACUCAUCCUUUCUGAUGAAGUUGAUGUGUAUAUUAAUCAACUUAUAACAUUUGAAACAGACAUGGUUGCGCGACUUUAAAGGGCAGAAGAGAAGAAAGAAAACAAAUUCAGGUGAGAUUCAAAAUAAGGAAGACAUGUACUGGAAGGAAGUGAUUGAAAAAUUCAAUGGAAAGGAGAAACUCUUUUUGUUUCCAUUAAACACUUCAAGAACUGCUAGAGACAAGGCUGGGUAUCAUUGGAGUCUUCUUGUGCUCGAGAAAGGUUUUGGAUGGACUCUUUAUAACUCUCUUGCUGGAAACAAAGCUUUCAACAAGUGUAUUCUGAGCAAUUGUAAAGCCAUUGUGAGUUAACUUUCUUAAACUAUUGUAGUUUUGUAACAAUUUUAUAAUGAUUUAGAAUUUUACCGAAGUUUAAACAUUUGAAACAUGCCAAAUAUGUCACUCCUUUGCUGGACAAAAAACUAAUCAAACCUGGAGAUGUUUGUUACAAAGAUGGUCCUAUAAAUGAAGCACCUGAUUUACCGCAUCAAGGCUCUUCGUAAGCUUUAGAAUUUUGAAUUGUUAUUCCUUAUUACGAUGAAUGCAAUUUGAUUUAUGCAUUAAUUAAAUAUUUCAGGGUGGACUGCGCAUUGUUUGUUAUCAAAUUCAUGGAGCACGCAAUUCCUGAAUGUGAAAUAUUUCGUCAGACUAUGGAGUGGAAACAAUAGACUUGAUGAGGGAUACAAUAGCAUAUGAACUACUGACUGAACCGGGACUAAGUAUUAACAAGGAAGUAUGGGAUGAACAACAAUUUCUAGUUUCCCUUGAUGCGGCUGAAAAAAAGAUACUUGAAGAGAAAGAAAAGGAAAAGGCAGCAGUUCAAACAAUUAUAAAUUUAGGUGUUCAAAAGUCAGAAUAGUUGAAAAUGAAUUACCCCGAAUUCGAGGUCCUGACUUUUUGUGUUUUGAAACUGUCAAUAGUACGUAUAUGUUAUGAAUACGAACAAGUUUUAUAUAUUUCUGUUAUUUUGUAACAACUGAAUUCUCAUGGUUAUAUCAAUGGAAAUGUUAUUUUGCUUA